This 445-nucleotide ribosomal RNA is filed under the name uncultured bacterium. RNAcentral's name for it is "partial 16S ribosomal RNA". It matches the Rfam family "Bacterial small subunit ribosomal RNA", at positions 354 to 796 of the family's 1533-position model. The record is from RNAcentral.
GUGAGGAAUAUUGGUCAAUGGGCGAGAGCCUGAACCAGCCAAGUCGCGUGAAGGAAGAAGGAUCUAUGGUUCGUAAACUUCUUUUGUAGGGGAAUAAAGUGCAGGACGUGUCCUGUUUUGUAUGUACCCUGAGAAUAAGGAUCGGCUAACUCCGUGCCAGCAGCCGCGGUAAUACGGAGGAUCCGAGCGUUAUCCGGAUUUAUUGGGUUUAAAGGGUGCGUAGGUGGUUUGAUAAGUCAGCGGUGAAAGUUUGCAGCUUAACUGUAAAAAUGCCGUUGAAACUGUCGGACUUGAGUGUAAAUGAGGUAGGCGGAAUGCGUGGUGUAGCGGUGAAAUGCAUAGAUAUCACGCAGAACUCCGAUUGCGAAGGCAGCUUACUAAGCUACAACUGACACUGAAGCACGAAAGCGUGGGGAUCAAACAGGAUUAGAAACCCGAGUAGUCC